CGCCCUUGAGUUUGAUCAUGGCUCAGGAUGAACGCUAGCGGCGUGCCUAACACAUGCAAGUCGAACGUGAGGAGGACUUCGGUCCUCUGAAAGUGGCGGACGGGUGAGUAAGACGUAGGUGACCUGCCUCGGAGUGGGGGAUAACCAUUGGAAACGAUGGCUAAUACCGCAUAGGUUGAGUAAGAUGGGAAUCUUAGUCAACAAAGCUUUAGUGCUUUGAGAGGGGCCUACGGCCGAUUAGUUAGUUGGUGGGGUAAAGGCCUACCAAGGCGAUGAUCGGUAGCUGGUCUGAGAGGACGAUCAGCCACACGGGAACUGAGAUAUGGUCCCGACUCCUACGGGGGGCAGCAGUGAGGAAUAUUCGGCAAUGGGGGGAACCCUGACCGAGCAACGCCGCUUUUUUUUUGACGGUUUUCGGAUUGUAAACUCCUUUUCUGCGGGAAGAGGCAGGACGGUACCGCAGGAAUAAGUCACGGCUAACUACGUGCCAGCAGCCGCGGUAAAG
RNAcentral lists this ribosomal RNA (505 nucleotides) under uncultured Caldilinea sp. Its description in RNAcentral is "partial 16S ribosomal RNA". It matches the Rfam family "Bacterial small subunit ribosomal RNA", at positions 1 to 525 of the family's 1533-position model. Lineage: Bacteria; Bacillati; Chloroflexota; Caldilineae; Caldilineales; Caldilineaceae. The record is from RNAcentral.